Molecule: ribosomal RNA, 400 nt
Filed under: uncultured Oscillibacter sp.
Lineage: Bacteria; Bacillati; Bacillota; Clostridia; Eubacteriales; Oscillospiraceae
Description: bacterial SSU rRNA
Rfam family: Bacterial small subunit ribosomal RNA
Source: RNAcentral
GGGGAAUAUUUGGCACAAAUGGGGCGAAGGCCUGAUGCAGCAACGCCGCGUGAGGGAAGACGGUUUUCGGAUUGUAAACCUCAGUUUUCGGUGACGAACAAAUGACGGUAACCGAGUAGGAAGCCACGGCUAACUACGUGCCAGCAGCCGCGGUAAUACGUAGGUGGCAAGCGUUGUCCGGAUUUACUGGGUGUAAAGGGCGUGCAGCCGGGCUGACAAGUCAGAUGUGAAAUCCCGAGGCUUAACCUCGGAACUGCAUUUGAAACUGUUGGUCUUGAGUAUCGGAGAGGUCAUCGGAAUUCCUUGUGUAGCGGUGAAAUGCGUAGAUAUAAGGAAGAACACCAGUGGCGAAGGCGGAUGACUGGACGACAACUGACGGUGAGGCGCGAAAGCGUGGGGA